RNAcentral lists this long non-coding RNA (3556 nucleotides) under Solanum tuberosum (potato). RNAcentral describes it as "long non-coding RNA (STUB_LNC011544)". The record is from RNAcentral. Lineage: Eukaryota; Viridiplantae; Streptophyta; Magnoliopsida; Solanales; Solanaceae.
UUCCAUUCUUGGCUGCCUAAGAUCUCCCCAUUAUUAGUGGUAAGAACUUAUAACAUUUGGAGUAUUAAGUGUGUAGCUUUAUUCAUAUUGUAUUCUGACCGACUUCACCAGUGGAGUUUGGGUAUUAGGAGUUUAAAGCUCCAAAGUAAGGUAUGUUAAGGUUUUUCCUUUUCUUUUGGCAUGAUUCCUUAAGAUUUUAAUUAUCAGGUCUAGCAUGUUAUCAAAGAGUUAGUUAUUCAAAAUUUGCUUGGAAAUACUAUUUGUUAUUACUUGAAAGGUUAACAGAUACGUCUUGUGAAGUACCAUUCAACUUUCUCAUUAUUUAUGGAAUUCUUUUGGUCGUUAUAUGAAGCAACACCACUUGAUGGGAGAAUUAUGAUUUUUAUUGAAAAUUUAAGUGGGGUGAAUGAAUUAGACAGACCAUUUUUACUCUGUUGACAAGUUGUUAAGUGUUAUUAGCUUUUUGAAGUUGACACCAUGGUCUAAUAUGCACAAGAUCUUAUUAUUUGUAGUUAACAUUAUGUGUUAUUGUCUUGUAUUUGUCGGUAUCGUUUUCAUGUACUUUGUCGACUCUAUCACAUAAGCUUGAGAUAUAAGUUUAAUUUUACUUCGAAAGGUUAUCUGAUGGUCUUGGCAGUCAUGUAAUUCGUGAAGCGGUUAUAGUAGAGAUUCGAGUUAAAAAAGGAUUCGAUUUUCGUUGUUGGAAUGAAGAGGAUCAUAAUUAUUUAUUGGAGAAACUUACUUUUUCAUAUGUGCAGUUUUUAGUGAUUUUAGUAUAGCUCGAUUGUCUGGUUUUUUUGUUAUAUACUUGACAUAGGGGACACAAGACAUGGAAUGUUCUGUCCAGCUCCCAACAUAGAAAUCCCCUAUAUUCUAUUGUUAGUAUUUUCAGGAUAACUUUUUGUACAGAACAUAUUUUGCGGUGGUUCUGGACUCGUUGUAACCCCGAGAAAUAUAUCUACAACUUUCAUGAAGUCGAUGAAGUCCAGUUCUAAUCUGUACCUUUUCAAAACUAAGUUACAAGACGAGAGGGUGGGCUGCCCAGAUUUGUUGUUUGGAGGAUAAAGUGUAAUUUUGCACAACCUGGGAUUACUUUAGAUGUUAAUAUAGAUUCAUAUCAACAUGAUGAAGCUAUUUGAAAUUACAAAGAUAUAUAAUUGUGUGUUAAAGGUUGUAUCUACUCGUGUGUAAGUUGAGGUACUUGAUGCAUUUUUUAGUCUACGAUUUGGGGUAUUGAAUUUGUGGUAGGGCUAUUUAUGUGCUACUAACCUAAGGUAGAUACCAUUUUUCAGGGGUGCGAAAUUCACGGAGUUCUUAACUUUCUACUAGUAUGUUUCUUCCUAUGUUUCUUAUUAUCCAUAGCUCUAAUACUAUUUUUCGGGGGUGCGGAAUUCACGGAGUUCAUGACUAUUUUUGGUAGUGUGGUAGGUAGUGUGGUAGGUGAAGAAUUCAUGGUAUUUUUGGUCUUUUUGGUAGGUGUACCAUUUUUGGUAGGUGAGGAAUUCAUUUUAUGUUUUGGCUAAAUAUUUUAUUAUAAUAUUCUUUUGCUAAGUGUCUUAAUCUUGAUAUCUCUUUAAUAUUAUUUAUGAUAUAUUCUAGAUAUAAGAUAUAUUGGGUUCUUAGAUACAUAUAUAAUUUUUUCUCUAUUAAUUGUUCUAAUAGUUUUAUAUCUUCCAUAGAUUCUGUCCAAUAUCAUAAAUAUUCGUAGUUCAUUUUAAUCUGAAUUUAUUUCUAAAUCAUAUCAUUCUAUUCUUUCGAGGUCUAAACCAUGUAGGUCUAUUUCAUAUCACUGUUGAUUUAAUAUAUCUUCUUAUUCGUUAUCAUUAAAUAUUUUUUCCCAUAUGAUUCUUCUUAAUUCAAUUAUUUCUAUACCUUUAAGUAUAUAUAGGAUUAAAGUUUCAUAGUUUUUUAUUAUUUCAUCAUGCAUGUAUGUAGUCAUGUUCUUUAUCAUGCAGGUUUUUAUUUUCAAUUAUUCCUUCCUAUCAUAUUCAUAAUUGAUUAAAUUCAUAUUAGAUCAUUAUGAACUAGAUUAAUUUGUUUAUCAUGUUUUUCUGUCACUACUAGCAUCGUACUUUAGCGGAUACUUCCUUCUUAUCAACGCCUCAACUUUGUUUACUCCCCUAAAUGGCUCUCCUCGCCUACCGGUUUCAACAUUAGGAUGACAUAGUAUAGAAGUUUUCUCCCUGUUUUCAGUGUGCUAAUAAACUAGAAAUCAUGAUUCAAAUAAUUCUAAUACAUAAUAACUAACAUAAAUUUAUUCAAUCAUAUAUAUGAUAUUCAGGAAUAUAUGAAAUUAGUUCUGCAUAUUUAUUGAACAAUAUACCUUUGCCUCUUGCUUAUCCAUGAUAUCUGAGGGUUGCUCCAUUAUCUAUUAAAUAUUUAAAUAUUUGAGAGAGUGUUUUUUUUAUGAAGGUGCUUCGUUUAUUCAAAGUCUGUCCUUUAUGUUACAUCUUCCUUUCUUUAUAUAGAAAGUAAAUCCUAUCUACUGCACUUACAAAUUCUAUCCUAUCUUUAUAUUAAUGUACAAUAAUGCACAAUAAUGCACUACUUCAUGACUUUCUUACAUAAUACUAUUUACUUUAUGACUUUUUUACACUACCACACCUACCUUCUUUACACUUGUCCGUACACACCAUACCUACUACUUUUAAUAAGCAUCCUACAUUGUUGACUAAUUUACACUACACUUUCUUACAAUAAGACUAAUAAUUUACAAUAAUAGUACUAUUCACUAUUUGCUUUUGGCUUUUUUGGCCAAAUAUAUCUUCUUUGCCUUAUCUCUUUAGUUGUCUUUAUCUUCUUUGUCCCUAUCUUUUUUGUCUUGACUUUAUUCUAGCUGGACAUCGGGAAUCACGUUGUCUUCUCCAUUACAUUUUGAACAUAGAUGAUCAGGGUAUUUGUGUCCAAUUAGCUUGCAAUAUCUGGUUAAUAGUUCUGGCAAAAUAAAUUAUGCUUUGAGCGCUCUUGUCGUAGGUCUUUCUUCUGGUUUUAAUAAUGAUAAAAUCCAUCGCUGGACUUCAUCCAUGUCUGCUUUCCUUAGUUCUCUUGAAUUUGAAUAUAUCAUUAACUGGUCUCUAGAGUAGUAACUUCAUAUAGCAUUUUCGUUCAAAUAAUUGUUUGCUAACUCUUGUAUAAUCGUUGAUAUACCAAUUAUUCUUUUAUUGGCAUAAAAACAUGGUACCUCUAUUUUUUGUAUUUCUUCUUGUUGUCCGAUAUCAUCAGGUAUAAUCAUAUCUUUGGUUAAUCCUAUCUUAAUAACUUGAAUUGGAGGUUUUAUCUCCUCGUAUAAUAUCUCCGCUGGUGCUGUAUAAAAUUUAUAUAAAAUAAAUUUCCUUUGGCAACUCUUUUAUAUGUGAAGAAUGCUUUGUGUAACUCUGGUAUUCCACUUAUCUCUUCUCCAUCGUAUGUAUAUACGGUAUUUAAUAGUCCAUAAUUGUAACAUGUUCUUACUAAAUUGGCGGUAGUUUUUGGUUGUGCAAUUAGCUUGUUAUAACCUUGUAAUUUUUGGGUUAGUUAGUCUUGAUUUGGUUCUUUUGUAGUGGAUCUAGGAUUACGG